CUUUUUCUUCCCCUCUGCGAAUUUCGUGCAUUCCGCUCCCCUCUCUUCUCGUUGUAGCUUUAUUAACUAGUUUAAAAUCACACCACACCCCCCCACACCCAAAAUAAUAAUAAUAAUAAUAAUAAUAAUUUAUUUUAUUCCUUUUUACAAGUUUUUAUUUUCGAUCUACUCGUUUGUUUUUAUUCCUACGAAUCCUUUUUGUUUUUGCUGAGGUAAAGAAAGGCGAAAUGGAUUCACAGCCAAAAAAUGUUGGAAUUCUAGCCAUGGAAAUUUACUUCUCUCCCACUUACAUCCAGCAGGUAAAAUCUUGUUUUAC
This 316-nucleotide long non-coding RNA is filed under the name Olea europaea subsp. europaea. Lineage: Eukaryota; Viridiplantae; Streptophyta; Magnoliopsida; Lamiales; Oleaceae. The record is from RNAcentral.